CGCGUAGGUGGUUUGUUAUGUCAGAUGUGAAAGUCCACGGCUCAACCGUGGAAGUGCAUUUGAAACUGGCAGACUUGAGUACUGGAGGGGGUAGUGGAAUUCCCGGUGUAGAGGUGAAAUUCGUAGAUAUCGGGAGGAAUACCGGUGGCGAAGGCGACUACCUGGCCAGAUACUGACACUGAGGUGCGAAAGCGUGGGGAGCAAACA
This 207-nucleotide ribosomal RNA is filed under the name uncultured bacterium. RNAcentral's name for it is "partial 16S ribosomal RNA". It matches the Rfam family "Bacterial small subunit ribosomal RNA", at positions 568 to 774 of the family's 1533-position model. The record is from RNAcentral.